CAGUAGCCGCGGUAAUACGAGGGGGGCAAGCGUUGUUCGGAAUUAUUGGGCGUAAAGGGAGCGUAGGCGGACAUUUAAGUCAGGGGUGAAAUCCCAGAGCUCAACUCUGGAACUGCCUUUGAUACUGGGUGUCUUGAGUGUGAUAGAGGUAUGUGGAACUCCGAGUGUAGAGGUGAAAUUCGUAGAUAUUCGGAAGAACACCAGUGGCGAAGGCGACAUACUGGAUCAUUACUGACGCUGAGGCUCGAAAGCGUGGGGAGCAAACAGGAUUAGAGACCCCAGUAGUCCCUGUCUCUUAUAC
Molecule: ribosomal RNA, 301 nt
Filed under: uncultured bacterium
Lineage: Bacteria
Description: partial 16S ribosomal RNA
Rfam family: Bacterial small subunit ribosomal RNA
Source: RNAcentral